GCAAACUUGGUCAUUUAGAGGAAGUAAAAGUCGUAACAAGGUCUCCGUAGGUGAACCUGCGGAGGGAUCAUUGCCAAAUGGCCAUGAGCCUUUAACCUUUCAACUCGUGGAAUUAUCAUUGUGUUUCGGCGCUACAGCGCCGUAUUUAUGCUGAUAAUUGUUUUUGUGUCUGAAUAAAAUCUAAGAAUUAAAACUUUCAACAAAGGAUCUCUUGGCUCUCGCAUCGAUGAAGAACGCAGC
Molecule: unclassified non-coding RNA, 240 nt
Filed under: uncultured fungus
Lineage: Eukaryota; Fungi
Description: partial contains small subunit ribosomal RNA, internal transcribed spacer 1, and 5.8S ribosomal RNA
Rfam family: Eukaryotic small subunit ribosomal RNA (bases 1-73)
Source: RNAcentral